GAAAUGCGAUAAGUAAUGUGAAUUGCAGAAUUCAGUGAAUCAUCGAAUCUUUGAACGCACAUUGCGCCCCCUGGUAUUCCGGGGGGCAUGCCUGUCCGAGCGUCAUUACAACCCUCAAGCUCAGCUUGGUAUUGGGCCCCGCCGACCCGGCGGGCCCUAAAGUCAGUGGCGGUGCCGUCCGGCUCCGAGCGUAGUAAUUCUUCUCGCUCUGGAGGUCCGGUCGUGUGCUCGCCAGCAACCCCCAAUUUUUUUCAGGUUGAUCUCAAAUCAAGUAAGACUACCCGCUGAGUUUAA
RNAcentral lists this unclassified non-coding RNA (294 nucleotides) under uncultured Pseudogymnoascus. Its description in RNAcentral is "sequence contains ITS1". The stretch from base 1 to 105 matches the Rfam family "5.8S ribosomal RNA", at positions 50 to 154 of the family's 154-position model. Lineage: Eukaryota; Fungi; Ascomycota; Leotiomycetes; Myxotrichaceae. The record is from RNAcentral.